AAAAAAAGGAAGAAUAAUUAAAAGCCAAGCCGGAGCUACAGGAAGUGAGAAGCAAAGAUCCUCUGGCUGUGAGCUCCAUGCGGCAAACAUCUCUGGAUUUAUUCUCUUGACCUCCAACAUGGGCAUUCUUUGAAUGAAGCUGUCAAUCCAGCUUCUGACACUGCAGAGAAAUAUGAUCUGUAGGCCGUGAGGGGCCUGGGGGAAGGCACUGUGUUAUGUUGACCUUCGGAAUCCUCACUUGCUGGCAGAGGCCCCCUUAAUUAUUUUAUGGAUUGAUAAACAGCUCUGGUGAGCAGCUGGGUGGAAGAAGAAGUGGAAACAGCUGCAGAAGAGUUGGACACUUUCCAAGAUCCCUCCUGUGACCUUGUGAUCCUUGCUUGUCUGGGCUAAUGGUAAUAGCACACAGGUUUGCUUUGGCCCUUAUUUGCCAAAAUUCAGACUCCCAGCUUUCAGGGCUAGCAAUAUAUAUGUCACAGGCCACUGUCAUCCUAGACUGACAGCACACUGCUCCAGAACAGAAGAAAGAUAGCCCCUUGGCUCAGUCUGGAGAAUGUCCUUACCUAUUUGACUAAGCCUGCUUUCUGUAGAGAUGUAAAUAAAGGAGAGCAGAAUAAAACACAACUUACUUCCAAGGAUGAGCCAAUUUAUAAAGGCUGUAAAAUAAGAAAUCAAAACAUUUUUUCUAAAAAAUGUUCUGGUGCUGCUACAUAUCUUCAUGGCUAAUGGGCUGAUUUUUUUAUUCUGAAAACUACACAAGAGACGAGUGGGUGGAAGAAGCUCUCUUUUUGCAAGUAUCACAGGUCCUGGGGUCUUCCCAGAAGUUGCUUACCCAGGCCUCAGAUAAAACUAACUGCCUUUGAGAAUCUAAAUGUAUUUAGGCCUCAUACCCUGUUCUUUCUGUUUUUUUUUUUUUCUCCUGUUUCCUUGCAAAAUUAACAGUGGUGUGUAUAGUGUCUUCCUCUGCUUCUCGACUUACAGAAACAUCCUCUACCACCUUCAGCCUGCUGGGAUUUCUCUUAAUGAGGAGACCAUGACCUCUUAGACAUGUGUUGGUCACCAUGCUCUUUGUAAAGACUCCAGGGGCACCCUCGGCAAUCUAUGGUUGGUAUCUCUUGUUACCUCGAUACAUCGCAAGCAUUUCACAAUGUGGUCUGUCUCCUCCUUCAUUCCUGUCUCCUCUGCCCUUGAAGAUAGAAGUCUUCCAGCUACUUUCUUUCUCUUCUUCCCUGUUGUCCUAUGUUCUCCCUUUCCUGCGAUUGCACACACCCUGGAUUCAUCCAUCUUCAUAUUACACAUGUCUCUAAGCAAUUCCAGGAGCUCCUGUGGUUUCAGCCUCUCCUGUUGAUGUGGCAUUAUCUCCUCACCAGCCUUUCCAGGCUCCAAGCCUCCAUUCUCUACUCCACUCCACGGCAGUGCAUGGAUGCCCUGCACACUGCAUCUUCCAGACCUUGAGGCCAGUUGCUUCCCAUUAGCCCCUUUAAUGCAAGACAUUGGCAGUAGACAGGAAAAUAAGAUGAAGGGUGAAGACAGUCCCUUUCAUUUCCAGCUCUGGCCAGCAGCACCCCAACAGCAACAGAUGGUUGGCUCCAGGCUCCAACUCCUUUUGGCUUUCUCAGCAGCCUUGCAAUAACCCUUGAAGGAACUAACAGCACCCAGCACCCAUAAAGGCAUGGCUGGACCACAACCUGUUUUGCUGUGUACCCUGGUUCUCCAUGGCCCCUGUUUGGCCGUAUCUUCUCCUCAAAAGUCUGAACAUUGGCUGCAGGAUGUCUCCACCCCACUUGUCUGGGCCCCAGCCAUGGAGCACUCCUUCCUUAAAGUCUUAAGCAUCAUUCAUGAGCUGUUCUUGACUUAGAGGUCUGAGCACCAGCUUAGCUGUGUCCCAUACUCACACAUCCAGCCUCCAGCUGUAGGUAGCUAACACCAGGAUUUCGGACCCCUGCCGCUGAUAGCGCCUUUCCCAUGUCCUCCUCUGGGCCCGUAGUUAUUAAUCUCUGUGGACAUUUGACCAUCUGCUACCUGUGUAAGCAAUCCUUUGCAUUAAAUUUCGUGUUCUGAAUACCCA
This is a long non-coding RNA of Canis lupus familiaris (dog), 2065 nucleotides long. RefSeq lists it as uncharacterized. The record is from RefSeq and is a predicted model, not a curated record. The transcript is spliced from 2 exons. NCBI's taxonomy places the organism in Eukaryota, Metazoa, Chordata, Mammalia, Carnivora, Canidae.